This is a long non-coding RNA of Sus scrofa (pig), 5188 nucleotides long. RefSeq lists it as uncharacterized. Lineage: Eukaryota; Metazoa; Chordata; Mammalia; Artiodactyla; Suidae. The record is from RefSeq and is a predicted model, not a curated record.
GUCCUUUCGGUCGGUGUUUGUUGAGCAACGAGCAUGUUUGGUCAGGACGGCUGACACUGGGCUUUCCCUGGACUCGCGGGGCUGAGAUGAAUGAACCCAGGCAUCACCGAUGCUUCCGUGGCCACAAUUGGGUGUAGUCUUAGGAGACUGUUCCAAGGUGGGAAAAAACAAGAAAGCAAGACCCUGCGUGUCAUGAGUGGGAACCUGUGGCACAGAACAUGUUCUCGGUGGAGUGGAAAGCAAAAGGCAGGCUUCCUGGUCCGGCAGCCAGGCAAGGCUGUGGCCCGUUCAGACUGGCUGAAGCAUAUGGAGGUUCCAUGGUAGGGGUCGAACUGGAACUGAAGCUGCCAGCCUAUACCACAGCCCCAGCAACACAGGAUCCGAGCUGCAUCUUCAACCUUCACCACAACUCAGGGCAACACCAGCUCCUUAACCAACUGAGGGAGGCCGGGGAUGGAAGCUGCGUCCUCCUGGAUGCUGGUUAGAUUCGUCAUCCGCUAAGCCCCAGUGGGCACUCCUUCCCUGAUGUCCUUGUUUCUGCAGUUCAGCACCCGCUGUUCUCAUCGCCCUUCUUCACAACCUCUGAGUCCUUUCUGCUCCCUCACUGCUCCUUCCUCCCCGGGCACAACUCCUGCCUCAUCGCAGACCCAAAAGCUGUCUCCAGGCACUGGGUAAAAUCGCAGGCUGUAGGAAAAGCCGGUUUUAAAAAAGGAACCCAGAUCAGGCAUCUGUGAGAGCCUGGACCGUCCAUCUCCCCGCAAAAAGAGAGUGACGUCAAUGAAGACAAAAUAGCAUCUGAGGAAAGAAAGAGCCGGUCAUCUUACAGGUUUGUUUAAAGCCACGAAUUUACGUGUCCAAGAAGCUUCGCAAAUGAAAACCAGCACAGGCUUUAUGAAGUCCGCUCACCCAUCACAGUCAUAAUGAAACCAGUGGAAACGAUGAGAAGCAUCCAGAGACAAUGACAUGUUCCGUCCAGAAGAGAAGCGGUUCGGACGAUUCGAGCUUCCACCUCCGAAACCAGUGCUGUCAGCAGAGGGGGCAUUCUGGAGAGACGGAACGGGCCGGCCUGGGAGUCUCCUGGCGACAUUCUUGGGGCGUGAAGGUGAAACGGGCAUCGUCAGAGGGAGGAAUGUGGAGAGACUUGGUGCCCAUGAACCUGCUCAAAGGGAAAUGGUGAGGGGGAGUCUUCGGGCGGAAAGGAGGCCAUUCUUGGGGGCACUUGCAGCGUCACCAGUGAAGGGAGACCCCCAGGUGGGCAGUAGAAGGUGCAGGUAAUUGCCUGUGGUCUCCCCUCAGGUCUUUGAAACGCAUGGGGCUGUUGAAAGCAAACAUCGCGUGUGGUGGGGAGUUUGGUGCAUGCAGACGAGGACAGAGCAGCUACAGCAAGAGGGCGGGGGGUGCAGGGGUCUUAGGAUGAUGUGUGUUCUGUGUUUCUCUGAGGCGCUGAGAACAUUCGGUCUGACAUUGGGCGUGCGUAUUAUACCUCCUGGUGCAGCCACUUGCACAGCACAGCAAGAGCUACAACUGGAACACCAGUGGAUACAGUGGAUACUAAGAAAUAUUCCCAAAGCCAGAAGGAGGCAGGAGAGGGACACUCGAAGAGCAAACAAGAGCAGGGACAAGGAGCAGAACGAAGGAUGAGUCUUGAUACAGCCUCGAUGGUCAUUCCAUGACCUGUGAGCGGUGACAGCACCACUAACUGGUGAACAUUGUCAGACUGGACCAAGAAUUAAAGGGCCCCAUUUGGGAAUUUGGAAAUUAAAGGGCACCCUUCUGCCUAAUGCACGAGGCAAAGAAGACCUCAGGGAAAACUGGAAACUAUUUUGAACUGGAUGGAAAUGAAAGUACAGCCCCCUCGUCUUUGGGGGAUGCAGCCAAAGCCGUGUUUAGGGGGAACGGAGACCAGCACGUGUUGGUGGAAGGUCCAGUGUCCACACUGGGGCAGAGGCUGGAGAGCAGCCCCUGAACCAGCGGCCCCAUCCCUGGUUACCAAGGGCCCUGUAUGUGGUGGGGCUCUGGGGGAUGGUGACACCACAGUCAAAGCCCCAAGGGCUGAAGUUCCCACUGUGGCUCAGUGGUUAACGAAUCAACGAGGAACCAUGAGGUUGCGGGUUCCAUCCCUGGCCCAGCUCAGUGGGUUAAGGAUCCAGCGUUGCCGUGAACUGUGGUGUAGGUUGCAGUCGCAGCUCGGAUCCCGCAUUGCUGUGGCUCUGGUGUAGGCUGGCGGCUACAGCUCUGAUUAGACCCCUAGCCUGGGAACCUCCAUAUGCCGUGGGAGUGGCCCUAGAAAAGGCAAAAAAAAGACAGGAAAAAAAAAAAGUCCCAAGGGCUUUGUGCCCACCCCUGUGGACACGUCUCCUUCCUUGAGAGCCUCUUCUCCUCCCUGAGUCCAGGGACGUCUCUCUGUCUAGCCUGUUCUCCUGCCCACGAGUGUAGUAUCCUGUUCAGCCCCCAGAUGUCUGCGCAUUGGAAGCAUUUUCUAAAUUUAUUCAUUAAAAUUUCUUUUUGGUCUUUUUGCCAUUUCUUGCGCCGCUCCGAUGGCAUAUGGAGGUUCCCAGGCUAGGGGUCUAAUCGGAGCUGUAGCUGCGGGACUACGCCAGAGCCACAGCAACGCAGGAUCCGAGCCGCGUCUGCAACCUACACCACAGCUCACGGCAACGCCGGAUCCUUAACCCACUGAGCCAGGCCAGGGAUGGAACCGCAACCUCAUGGUUCCUCGUCGGAUUCAUUAACUACUGCGCCACGACGGGAACUCUUUUUAAAAUGUUUUACUAUAGGCGACUUAACCGUGUUCUGUGGCACAGCAAAGUGACCCGUUCAUAUGCAUUGGUUCUUUCCUUCACAUCCUCCUCCAGCAUGUUCCGUCACACGUGCUCAGAGUCCCAUCCCCGGGCGAUCCAGCCGGAUCCCACUGCUUACCCACCCGCAUGCAGCAGCUGGCAUCCAGCAAGGGUUGAAUGCCUUUGCUCUCCUUAGCAUUUGCAGAGCCCCGAGCAUCACUGCUCCCCCCAAACCUGACACUGCCCAGUGGUGACCCAGGCCCUGACACUGUAGACGACAGCUGAGGGUGUCACUUUGUUGGGAGGGCAAUAUCGUGGGCCACCUACGCCGUCUUUGGGGGCUCACCUUGACCUCUGGACCUGUUCGUGGCUCAGGUUUACCUGUCUCCCAACAGUGGGUUGCAGCCUUGUGACUUGGUGGGGAUGGCAGUGCCCAGGUCGUCACGGGAAGCUCCAUUCGCACAGACGCCCGAUAUCUCUUUCCGUCAGUGUCUGUCGGGCACUGGGGGCACAUCAGGAGCCGUGUUGCGAUGGCACCUGGCUUUCCGCUGCAGGUGAUGGAUGAGAUGACCUGAACCUGCAGGGACCGAACCUCCCCUCAGCCCCUGGGCUCCGCGAGAAUCGCCAGGCCUCCCAGUGCCCACGGGUUCGUCGGGUCCUGGACGGUAGCCCGAGGCUCUGGCAGAGCCCCGUUUCUAAAACCGUGGGCUCCCCUCAGACCCGCACCGGUCUCAGUUCCUUGAGAAGUCCCUUCUCCUCUCAGGUAUGACACCUGCUGCUUCCACAGUCCAAGGAUGCGGACCCAGAGCUGUGCCGCUCUCUGUGCUGGGUGUUGCCAGGUGCAGUGGCGUGUGCCUUGCUGGAGGGGCUGUGUCUUGGCGGGUCUCAGAGAACAGGUCCUCUGCCAGGAUCUCUGCUUUGGCAGGCUCUGAAUCCUUGAAUUGCUUUUUUUCUUAAAAAAAGAGUUGGGGCUCAUUGGGUUAAGACCCUGACUAGUAUCCAUGAGGACGUGGAUUCGAUCCCUGGUCUCACUCAGCGAGCUAAGGAUGUGGUGUGGCUGUGGCUGUGGUGUAGGCUGGCAGCUGCAGCUCUGAUUGGACCCCUGGCCUGGGAACCUCCAUAUGCUGCAUGUGUGGUCCUCGAAAAAAAGGAAAAUUAAAAAAAAAAAAAAGACCUGCCAGCACUCCCAGCACAUGGAGUCUGUCUCAGAGCAACGCGAACACCCCACCCUCUCCUCCUCAGGCCCUGUUCACAAGACACCAUCAGCCUGGUGGACCAGUGCCAAGGGUCCUUGGGCUAUGCUGUGACUGAGGGCAGGUGGAUUUGUCCCAAGGGUGAAUGUGUACUGUCCCCCCUUCCGGGUGAAGAGGAGGGGCUGCUUACUUCCUGGGGGUACAGCUGCAGUCAUGUGACCAAAGGCUGCCCAGUUCUCUCCUGGGGACGGUAUCCAUGCGGCACAGCAGCUGUGACAGGGGUGGGUGGGCGCUGGGUGAAGUCACGGCACUCCACCAUCCAACACCCCCCUUGCUUGGCCACGCCCAUGGCCUGCAGAAGUUCCGGGGCCACGGAUGGCAUCCAUGCCACAGCAGUGACCUGAGGCACAGCAGUGAUAAAGCCAGACCCUGACCUCCCUGGGCCCCUCGGGAACUCCCAUCCUCAGGUACCCUUGACCCGUUCUGUUUCUCAGGGGCCAGGCUGCUGUCGUAAGCAGGGCUCUGUGGGCCCCCACCACCACCUCUCUUGGGUGUGUGAGGGGGGGCCCUGGUCCCUGCUAGUCCACCUGAGUGAGGGCUGGUUUGGCUUCACCGUGCAGGGCCUGUCGGAGUUACCUUGUCAGGGAUGAGAUUCGCUUUCCUGUCUUUCGAGACUGACUCUGCUUUGGAUGCUGAUUCCGUGACUUUGUGGGUCAGUGUAUCCUUUGAAGGCUUAAAAAAAAGUCUGUGUUACAUCUGUGUGUGGGCACAUCCUAGGGUUUGUUUGGCCUCCCGAGGAGGGCACGGCUCUGGAUGCUUCUUGGUUGUCCCAAGGGCUCAGCCUGAACUUGAAACACCUGUCGUCACCGUGCUGGCUCUGGGAACUGAAGCCAAACUCUCAUUUACUCUGUUUCUUAAAAUGAUCGUAGAGAAACCAAAGACGCUGGAGUUCCCGUGGCGCAGUGGGUUACGAAUUCGACCGUAGGAGUUCCCGCUGGGGCUCAGGGCUUAAGGAACCGACUCGUCUCCAUGAGGACUCGAGUUUGAUCCCUGGCCUCGCUCAGUGGGUUAAGGAUCCAGCAUGGCCAUGGGCUGUGGUGUGGGUGGCAGACGUGGCUCGGAUCCUGUGUUACUGUGGUGUAGGUGGGUGGCUACAGCUCCGAUUUGACCCCUAGCCUGGGAACCUCGUGUGCUGCAGGUAUGGCCCUAAAACGA